RNAcentral lists this ribosomal RNA (274 nucleotides) under uncultured bacterium. RNAcentral's name for it is "partial 16S ribosomal RNA". It matches the Rfam family "Bacterial small subunit ribosomal RNA", at positions 523 to 796 of the family's 1533-position model. The record is from RNAcentral.
AUACGAAGGGGGCUAGCGUUGUUCGGAAUUACUGGGCGUAAAGCGCGCGUAGGCGGAUUGGUCAGUUAGUGGUGAAAUCCCAGGGCUUAACCCUGGAACUGCCUCUAAUACUGCCAGUCUUGAGUUCGGGAGAGGUGAGUGGAAUUCCUAGUGUAGAGGUGAAAUUCGUAGAUAUUAGGAAGAACACCAGUGGCGAAGGCGGCUCACUGGCCCGAUACUGACGCUGAGGCGCGAAAGCGUGGGGAGCAAACAGGAUUAGAAACCCCAGUAGUCC